Molecule: long non-coding RNA, 4287 nt
Filed under: Homo sapiens (human)
Lineage: Eukaryota; Metazoa; Chordata; Mammalia; Primates; Hominidae
Description: HSALNT0239618
Source: RNAcentral
GGGAGAGAACGCAAGGCAAGCAUCGCGCCAGAUGCUGUGAGUUUAUCCUGAGAGCCCAGCCGCACGCUGACAGGGCUCCAGGCCCUCUCCUACAGGAAGACUUCCUGGAUUAAUCUGCUAAUCUUCAGCUCAUCCACCUGUUUAAUAGGCAAAACCUACAGAACUAGUCCACACUGAGUGGACCUCUGGGGCUCCCAGCUGCCGAUUGACCUGAACCCCAGAGUGAACUCGUGUUGCUUUGUGGCUUCAGGAAACCUUGGAACAUCUCUGUGCUGUUUUUUCAUUUGUGCUCAAUCAUUCCUGAGGCCUCCUCCUCCUGCUGCAAUUUGACAAGACUUGACCAAAUCAUUAACUCCCAGUUAAUGGGAUAAAAUGAGUUUGAAUCUGGGAUUCUGGUCAUUAACCCCAUGUCACCAUCUGCUCCAGCAGUUUGAUGGCAGGGCUAGGUGAAUUCUAAUCACCCAACACUUGUUAAACUGCUGAUUCCUGCUUCCCCACCUCUGCUGACUCAGCAUCUCUGGGGUGGGGCCUGCAAAGGCUCUCUUCCUUGACGGGGUUAUUGAGGGCAGCUCUAGGAACCCACCCAGGACCAGACCUGAUGAGGAGUUCCUCCUAUGCAUCAGGUAUGCUGGGUCGGUUUGCGGAGUUUCAUAACUUGCAUUUUCCUCUGCCUGGAGAGUUCCUUGCAGCUGGCUUCUUCUGUGUCACGGCCCCACAGAGAUCUUGGCUGGUCUCCCUAUCUCCACCCUCCACCAUGCUCACUAUUCCAUUACAAGUUUCCUUUUCUACCCAGUACUAAUCAUUUUCUGCAAUUCAUCUCAUUUCCUUGUGAACUAUCUGUUGGUCCUACCAGAAUGUAAGUCUCCACCUGGGGGCAGAGACCCUGCCUGGCUUGUUAGAAGCCAUAUCCCCAGGAUUGAAGCAUAUGAGAGAUGCUCAGAAAUACAAGAAUUCAUGAACAAAUGAACACGAGUGAAUUCAUUCAGCUCUGAUGCUGAGGCUCCCUCUCUGAGAUGAAAGAAUGGGGAACCUUCUUCUAAUCCUGGGGAACCUGGGGCCUGCCCUGAGCCUGAUUCCUGAGGCAGGUGAGAGGCACCUCCUACCUCUCAACCCUGUCUAUUGUUACCCCCAGCACCCAGGGAAGACCUCACUGGAGCCUGAGUCAGUGCAGGGGGCCAAGAGGAAUCUGUGCACCCAGAGAAUCUUGGCUGAGUUACCUGAUUUUAAAACUCCUGACUUAAGGUGCUAUUGACCAAGUACUCCUUAGCUCCAUCGCCUACAAAACCACAGGUGCAGGUGAAAGUUGAGUUUAGGUAUGAACUGAAUACUGUUUAGCUACCCUAUUUAAAAAAUUGUUUUCAUUUGUUUGUUUGUUGAGACAGGGUCUCACACUGUCACUCAGGCUGGAGUGCAGUGACAUGGUCAUAGCUCACUGUGGUCUUGAACUUCUGGACUCAAGCUCUCCUCCUGCCUCAGCCUCCUGAGUAGCUGAGACUACAAGGUGCCACCACAUCCAGCUAAUUUUUAAAACCUUUUUUGUAGAAAUGGGGGCUCUCCCUAUGUUGCCCAGGUUUGUCUCGAGCUCCUGGCCUCAAGGGAUCCUCCUGCCUCAGCCUCCCAAAGCAGUGGCCACAGGCAUGGGCACUGCACCCGGCCAAAAGAAAUAUUCUGUCUUCGCUUCCAACUUGAAAUGGACUGCUUACCUUGGCACUUCCCAUGCCGGCUUCUCUCCACUUUCCAAUCUAACAGGAUAAUGAUGUCAUACAGAAAUAACUUACAGUAGGUAUUUAGUAAAUGCUGGUGUGCAAUAUGGAAUAAAAUUCACAAGAGGAAUUCCAAACUGUUCCUUAUCCUCAAAUCAUUUUUUAAUAGCCAAAAAAUUAGUCUGAAAUUUGAGUCCUCGCCCUUCAGUGUAAAAUCAGUAGCUUUUAAUUUUCCCUUAUUUUGUUUGCUUUAAAGAGGCACACCUACCUAUAGUCCCUUAGUCAUGUAAGGGCUGACCCCUCCCACUGGUCUAAAGCGGGGCUUCUGGACCAUGCCUGACCACAGCCAUCUGAUCCUGAGGAGCCUUUAACCCAGUACUUCUGUUUAAAGAAACAAAAGUCCUCUCCUAAAUAAACAAAGCAGGCCUGACUCAAAUCUCUCCGAUGGGUAAAGGAAAGUACCCAGGAGCAGGAGGCUUGGAUUUCUGAUUUUAUUUCGUGUCAUUUCCCUUCCUCAAAGGUGUGAAACUCCACCCCACGCCACUCCUUUCCUAUUCAUCCUCUACUGGAUGUUUUUUCCUCUAAAUAAUUUUUAUUUUCUAUUUUUGUCUGUAUGUGUUCUCCUCUUUUAGUCUACUUCUGUCCCUCUUUCCCCUGCGAAGGAAAAAUAGAAGAAAGAAGCCAUCUCUGUUUGCUUUCUCCCUGUCACUCAAUCUCUGGAGCCAACUGCUUCACAAAUAAAGAGAAGUGCACAGAGAGUCCCUGAAGCCCACCAUCAACAGACAGGCUUUCAACAAAACUGUAUCAGCACCGCCUUGGCCAUAGCUACACUCUACAGAAAAUGGGAGAGAGGAACAGCGCUAGAGAAGUUUGUCCUUGCCUGGUUCCCGGGUGGAACUUCCUCUCCCCCUUGUGUUCUAUGCGUGUGGUUACAGCUGCCUCUGAUCUUUGGUGACCAGCGGUUGGCAGUGGUGGUAUUUCAGCAUACCUUGAUCAUCGUGCUUAUUACACAGCCUCCUUUACCAUCAACCCUACCUACCUUCUUCUAGCCAUGCCCCCCACCUCCUCCCGUCUCUAUCCAUCUCUUCGCUCUUUUAAAAAAUACUUAAGUGUGUACAGAUCACAGUGACUUCAUUUGUGUGCCCAUUCACAUUUGAUGACUUCCAUAACCCCCAUACAAGUAGUUGUGUAUUCGUUUUAAUUCACUUUAUUUAUUUCCUAGCUCUUUCAUAAAAUAAAAUGAAAUAUAAGUAAUGAAAUGGGAAUAAAAAAGAGAAAAAUAGAAUUGAGGGGGAAAAGGAGAAAUGCAUCUAUGUUUGUGAUCACGUUCAUCUUUCUCCAUGCAUCAAUAUGCAUACUAUUAUGAAUUCAUUGCACGUAUUUUAACAUGUAGGCACUACAUGGGGAUGUGGUGUCUACAUACCACCUCUAUAGUGGUAGGCACUGCAAAGGGACAUACAAAAGGUAAAAAGCAUAGUCUCUACUCUCAUAGGACUUUUCAUCUCAUGGAUGUGGCACUCAUAAUGUCUUUUAUCUGUGUCCCACUUGAUGUGAAACUCUUUAGUAGGCAUGAUCCUAUUUGAUUUCCAUAAGCAGAAGAGGGGUCACUGUUUCCAUGUUAUGAGAGAGGAAACUGAGGUUCAGAGAGUGAAAGGACCCUGAUGAGAUAAUGGAACUGGGGCUCAAAUCCUGGUUUCCCGACUCAACAUUUCACAUUCUUUCUACUCUGUCAUUAUUCAUUAGUCAAGUUUCUCCACAGACAACUCACUGAGCCACAACAUAUGAAGCAGCAUGGUAAUGCCACUAGACUGGUCAUGAUCAGAAGAUGUGGCCCCAGGGAAGAGAAAGCAAGAGAGCUGGAGAUAGCAGAGAAAGCACCAAGGAAGGGCUUGGCCGUGCAGCUCUAGCAGGGAGGUCCUUCCUUUCAGCCCCCAAGUGUCCCUCUGUGUCUCAUCUAAAAAGCAAAAAAAGAGGAGAACUAGAGCUUAUGGUUGAAGGCGUGAGAAUGAGGUGUCUUUUCCCUCUAUCUCUGUAAUAUACAAGUAUAAAUACUAUAUAUACAUAUGUAUAUGUGUUCCUUUUUUCUGUGUCUGAUUAUGCAUGCAAUUUAGCAAGGAUUUAUUGCCUAAUUUUGGUCUGGGCACUUUGCUAACGCAAUGGGGGAGGAUACCAAGAAAUUAGGGACUCAGCCUCAUUGUCCCCAGAGACUCCUGGGGGUGGGCAAGGCACGGUGUCUGUGCAUACUGCUGGGGGAGCUCUGGAUUAGGGGACAUCAGGAGACAUGACAUUGAAAUGUCCUACUCAGUUCUCUGUACAGAUUGGAUUUCCGUGGAAGAAAGAAAAUCAACAUGUAUUGGGAGUCAACAUCUCAUUCAGUCCUGUGAGUUUAUUCUGCCUAUUUUUCAGACAAGGAGACUAAGGCUUCAAGACGGUAAGUAAAUUGCCCACAGUGUCACUGCUGGUGUGGGAAUGAGCUUCAGGGUCAUUGAGUCAUGCUGCUGCCCAGGUACCCUGUAAGGCCGUCAAGUGUUGUGGGUAAGGGUUUUGGUGCUGACGUUCAGGUGAUUGUGAGUUUAAAGCCUGG